CCUGGUGACCAUAGGCGAGGGGUUCCACCCGUUCCCAUCCCGAACACGGCCGUUAAGCCCUCAGCCGCCAAUGGUAGUCGGACGUAAGGUCCUGCGAGAGUAGGUCGUUGCCAGGU
This 116-nucleotide ribosomal RNA is filed under the name Opitutus terrae. Lineage: Bacteria; Pseudomonadati; Verrucomicrobiota; Opitutia; Opitutales; Opitutaceae. The record is from RNAcentral. RNAcentral also lists the same sequence under 1 other name.